Molecule: ribosomal RNA, 478 nt
Filed under: uncultured rumen bacterium
Lineage: Bacteria
Description: bacterial SSU rRNA
Rfam family: Bacterial small subunit ribosomal RNA
Source: RNAcentral
GCAGGCUUAACACAUGCAAGUCGCGGGGCAGCGCGGAGUAGCAAUACCCUGACGGCGACCGGCGAAAGGGUGAGUAACGCGUGAGCAACAUGCCCGUAGAUGGGGGAUAGUCGAUGGAAACGUCGCGUAAUACCCCAUAACAACAGGGUCCGCAUGGUCUUUGUUUAAUAGAUUUAUCGUCUACGGAUUGGCUCGCGUACCAUUAGCUAGUUGGCGGGGUAACGGCCCACCAAGGCGACGAUGGUUAGGGGUUCUGAGAGGAAGGUCCCCCACAUUGGAACUGAGACACGGUCCAGACUCCUACGGGAGGCAGCAGUGAGGAAUAUUGGUCAAUGGCCGAGAGGCUGAACCAGCCAUGCCGCGUGCGGGAGGACGGCCCUAUGGGUUGUAAACCGCUUUUGUUGGGGAGCAAUAAGGUGGACGUGUCCACUGAUGAGAGUACCCAGCGAAUAAGCAUCGGCUAACUCCGUGCCAGCAG